AUGAAGCCGGAAUUGCUAGUAAUGGCAGGUCAGCAUACUGCCGUGAAUACGUUCCCGGGCCUUGUACACACCGCCCGUCACACCAUGAGAGUUGGGGAUACCCGAAGCCUGUGAGCUAACUUAUAGAGGCAGCAGUCGAAGGUAGAAUCAAUGAUUGGGGUGAAGUCGUAACAAGGUAGC
This 180-nucleotide ribosomal RNA is filed under the name uncultured bacterium. RNAcentral describes it as "partial 16S ribosomal RNA". It matches the Rfam family "Bacterial small subunit ribosomal RNA", at positions 1320 to 1500 of the family's 1533-position model. The record is from RNAcentral.